This 96-nucleotide transfer RNA is filed under the name Ktedonobacteraceae bacterium. Its description in RNAcentral is "tRNA-Sec". It matches the Rfam family "Selenocysteine transfer RNA". The record is from RNAcentral. Lineage: Bacteria; Bacillati; Chloroflexota; Ktedonobacteria; Ktedonobacterales; Ktedonobacteraceae.
GGAGGUGUAUGAGCUCCGGUGGGCUUUGCCGUCUUCAAAACGGUUGAGGGGGUGCUCAGCGCAUUCCCUGGUGGGUUCGACUCCCAUACGCCUCUG